RNAcentral lists this ribosomal RNA (479 nucleotides) under uncultured bacterium. RNAcentral's name for it is "bacterial SSU rRNA". It matches the Rfam family "Bacterial small subunit ribosomal RNA", at positions 330 to 801 of the family's 1533-position model. The record is from RNAcentral.
ACCGUACUCCUACGGGAGGCAGCAGUGGGGAAUAUUGGACAAUGGGCGAAAGCCUGAUCCAGCCAUGCCGCGUGUGUGAAGAAGGGCUUCGGAUUGUAAAGCACUUUAAGGUGGGAGGAAGGGCAUUAACCUAAUACGUUGGUGUCUUGACGUUACCGACAGAAUAAGCCCCGGCUAACUCUGUGCCAGCAGCCGCGGUAAUACAGAGGGUGCAAGCGUUAAUCGGAAUUACUGGGCGUAAAGCGCGCGUAGGUGGUUUGUUAAGUUGAAUGUGAAAUCCCCGGGCUCAACCUGGGAACUGCAUCCAAAACUGGAAAGCUAGCGUAUGGUAGCGGGUAGUGGAAUUUCAUGUGUAGCGGUGAAAUGCGUAGAUAUAGGAAGGAACACCAGUGGCGAAGGCGACUACCUGGACAGAAACUGACACUGAGGUGCGAAAGCGUGGGGAGCAAACAGGAUUAGAUACCCCGGUAGUCCUUGAC